UAGAAUCUUUAAAAAAAGUGGCUAAACAACUGUAGGACACAAAACAUGACUUAUUAUGCUGUAUUGUCUUUUUAAAUGUAUCAGUCUGUUGCCUCUAAUAAGUAGGAACUUCUUUGAGGACAGGAACUGUACCAUAUUCAUCACGGUGUCCCCAGAGCUCACCCAGUGUCUGGGACUAAAGUAAAUCCCGGUAACUGCUGUUAUCAGGGAACAGCAGGCCUGGGACGUUGCCGGGCAUAUAAAAACGGGGCCGGGGCAGGAGAUUUAAAAGAUCAUGGCUGACUGGGGCCCAGGCCUCCCUUGAAUUUAAGUCCCCGCUGGCCUAACGACCAACUCACUAAACUACAGUUUGGGAUUGCUGGAAGGGAAAACAGUCUGACCUCAUUUGCAGUUGUUGAAAGCGGUUGCCACUGGCAAUAUAGAGAAGAGACAGAGAAUAUUUUAACCAAAUAUUAAAAGCCCCUGGAGGGACUUAACCAGGCCUUACUCAUUUCCGUGUGCUCCAUGUCACCCACAGUGGCCUGAACUCAGAAAUCAGUCAUAACAAGCGAUAAUAACAAUACCAUGCAUUCGAAUAAACAUUGAUAAUUUUCACUGUGUUCACAUUAAAAAAAUUUUUUUUCUGGUUCUCAAAACAGAGAACCAAAGACCUUGGGGUUUUGCUUCCUGGGAUGACAGUGCAGAGUAAAAGGUAGAAAAAUAGGAUGGGCGUGAUGUACACAGGAGGCCAUGACGAAAGUGAGCCCAAGCGUUAAGUCCGGAAAGUUCAAAGGUACAAUGCCCUGUGCAAAUCUUACUCGAUUGUCGUCUGAUCCAACACACCGGUGACUGGGAUCCCGUAAAACUGCUGCAUGGUGGAGACCGCUGACUGCAAGGCCUUCCCUGAGUGCAACGCAGAGGCCCGUGAAUCGUAGGGCAGCAGGUAGCCAUAUGACUUCAACCAGUUCUGAAAGACACGGGAAAGAGAGGAGGCAUUAUGCUGGAGAAGGCUCUGUUCUACCUGCAGGGGGUGGCCGUUGAGUACCAGGAACCAUUUUAUCCCAGGAGCUUAUGGCCUCACACUUCGGUUCUUCCUCCGCCACUCCCUCCCGCAGACAUGUCACAUUUGUCUCCAGAAAACACAGCUCUUGUUGGGUUCCUCUCCUGCUGCAAAGCUUUCACUGGGUCUCUCCUGACUACAGAAUCGAGCUGAAAUUUGCAUUCAGGGCUUCCUACCACCCUGACUCUUGGCUCAUUUAUUCAGUGGUUUUCACUGACGUAUGACUGGACAUGCAAGAGCAUAUGAACAGUUCAUUCACAGAAGUAAAAUGACCUGUUAAAAUGCACUUCCAGAGACCUGUGUCUAUAAUCAGAGUCUGAUGAAGACUCGUGCUGUAGAAUAUUUAUUGGCAUGAGAUUAUAUAUGCCCUUUAUUGCUAAUCCCUCCAGAAAAGCAAGCCAUU
Phyllostomus discolor (pale spear-nosed bat) is the source of this 1442-nucleotide long non-coding RNA. RefSeq lists it as uncharacterized. Lineage: Eukaryota; Metazoa; Chordata; Mammalia; Chiroptera; Phyllostomidae. The transcript is spliced from 2 exons. The record is from RefSeq and is a predicted model, not a curated record.